UCCAAAUGGACUGACUCAUUUAAUCAACAGCACCCAGAAACAGAAGGCGUCGCCUGUACUAGUCAGGUAAACAAGUCUAUUUUUAUCAAGGGAGAUUCACAUCAGGGCCAGUAAUAAGACGGUAAUAUUAAUGACAUGAAAGCUGACUCCUCCUAGUGUGAUGAUACAGGCUACCUGAAAAGCAUCACCAUAUGGCCACAUCUCUUCCAUAACUCCCAUCACGGCAAGCAUCCCAUCUGCAUCCACAGGGCCUCCACUUGCAGCACUGCCCCAAUGUCUCCUACUCACAUUGUCCCUCCCUCCCUACGGUAGGAAGCAAACUUCCUGAUGGACCUGCUACAAUUCAUCAUGUUGACAUCUUCCCACACUCUGAAGGCUGUAUGAAGUGAGCAUAUACUUGCUUUAGACCACUGUAAGGUUUCAUUUCCUGGGUGAAACAGAUUGCGACUUCUGUCAUCUUGUUACUCAGUCUUCUUAACUUGCUGAUAAAGGAAAAUGCCAAGUGGGAGAGGCUCAUUAAAGGUAGUCUCCCACUAAGUGAAUUUUCAGAUGACCCUGGAAGCUUGGAAGCCAAUUCUUCUCCAGCUGAACCUUCGAAUGAGAGACAAGUCCUGACUAACACUGAAAUGAUUCUAGGUUUAACAAGUGUCCAGUGACGUGGCCAAAGAGUCGUGGUGGCCUGCACUUUCAUGGAAGUCACCACACAAUUCUCAAACAUAUUCAGAACUCCUGAGAGGACACAGGCUGAGGCUGGAGAAUCCACACAAGUUGGAAGUCGCUGCAAUGACAAUACAGAGCAAACAAACCGACCAAAAUCGCCUGCCAGACACCUAGAACACAAUGGGAGUGGAGGCAAACACCAGUGAACCAGAAGACAGAGGCAGAUGCAGGAGGACCACAAGUUCAAGGCCAACCUGAGCUAGGGAGAUCCCGUCCCUUAGAGCAGCCACUUAGUGAGGCAAGUGUUCUUCUCACAAGCAUGAGAACCUAGCAUCCACCAAAAGCCCAGCAUGGAUGGUAGCACACCAGAGGGGCCUAGACUGGCAGAUCAGCAGGGCUUGCUGGCUAACCUUAUCAGUAAACCCCAGGACCCCCCAGAGAGCCUUUGGACAGCUCCGGAGGAACAAUGUUCAAGGUUGACAUCUGGCCUCCCUGGGUAAAGGCAGACCUGUUCGCGUUCACCCACACUCACAAAACAGCAAAAAGGAAACUGAAAUAAAAGCCUCUGGAAUGCCA
Long non-coding RNA from Mus musculus (house mouse), 1236 nucleotides. RefSeq annotates it as predicted gene, 42357. Lineage: Eukaryota; Metazoa; Chordata; Mammalia; Rodentia; Muridae. The transcript has 3 exons. The record is from RefSeq and is a predicted model, not a curated record.